GUGAGGAAUAUUGCGCAAUGGAGGCAACUCUGACGCAGCCAUGCCGCGUGCAGGAAGAAGGCGCUACGCGUUGUAAACUGCUUUUAACCGGGAUGAAACCCCAGGACGUGUCCUGGGUUGACGGUACCGGAGGAAUAAGCACCGGCUAACUUCGUGCCAGCAGCCGCGGUAAUACGAAGGGUGCAAGCGUUAUCCGGAUUCAUUGGGUUUAAAGGGUGCGUAGGCGGAGCGUUAAGUCAGUGGUGAAAUCCUGCAGCUUAACUGUAGACUUGCCAUUGAUACUGGCGCUCUUGAGUGCGCUUGAAGUGGGCGGAAUGUGCCGUGUAGCGGUGAAAUGCUUAGAUAUGGCACAGAACACCAAUUGAGAAGGCAGCUCACUAAGGCGAUACUGACGCUGAGGCACGAAAGCGUGGGGAUCGAACAGGAUUAGAUACCCUUGUAGUCC
This 445-nucleotide ribosomal RNA is filed under the name uncultured bacterium. Its description in RNAcentral is "partial 16S ribosomal RNA". It matches the Rfam family "Bacterial small subunit ribosomal RNA", at positions 354 to 796 of the family's 1533-position model. The record is from RNAcentral.